CUUGCUUCUCUUGAGAGCGGCGGACGGGUGAGUAAUGCCUAGGAAUCUGCCUGGUAGUGGGGGAUAACGCUCGGAAACGGACGCUAAUACCGCAUACGUCCUACGGGAGAAAGCAGGGGACCUUCGGGCCUUGCGCUAUCAGAUGAGCCUAGGUCGGAUUAGCUAGUUGGUGAGGUAAUGGCUCACCAAGGCGACGAUCCGUAACUGGUCUGAGAGGAUGAUCAGUCACACUGGAACUGAGACACGGUCCAGACUCCUACGGGAGGCAGCAGUGGGGAAUAUUGGACAAUGGGCG
RNAcentral lists this ribosomal RNA (295 nucleotides) under Pseudomonas sp. RNAcentral describes it as "partial 16S ribosomal RNA". It matches the Rfam family "Bacterial small subunit ribosomal RNA", at positions 79 to 377 of the family's 1533-position model. The record is from RNAcentral. Lineage: Bacteria; Pseudomonadati; Pseudomonadota; Gammaproteobacteria; Pseudomonadales; Pseudomonadaceae.